Molecule: ribosomal RNA, 274 nt
Filed under: uncultured bacterium
Lineage: Bacteria
Description: partial 16S ribosomal RNA
Rfam family: Bacterial small subunit ribosomal RNA
Source: RNAcentral
AUACGGAGGGUGCAAGCGUUAAUCGGAAUUACUGGGCGUAAAGCGCGCGUAGGCGGUUUGGUCAGUCGGAUGUGAAAGCCCUGGGCUCAACCUGGGAACUGCAUUCGAUACUGCCUGACUAGAGUAUGGUAGAGGAAAGCGGAAUUCCCGGUGUAGCGGUGAAAUGCGUAGAUAUCGGGAGGAACAUCAGUGGCGAAGGCGGCUUUCUGGACCAAUACUGACGCUGAGGUGCGAAAGCGUGGGGAGCAAACGGGAUUAGAAACCCCUGUAGUCC